UCCCGGUUGAUCCUGCCAGAGGUCACUGCUAUCGGGGUUCGAUUAAGCCAUGCGAGUCGAGGGGUUCGGCCCUCGGCGUACUGCUCAGUAACACGUGGAUAACCUGCCCUAGGGAAGGGGAUAACCCCGGGAAACUGGGGAUAAUACCCUAUAGAUUACAGAUGCUGGAAUGCCCUGUAAUCCAAAGUUCCACGCCCUAGGAUGGAUCUGCGGCCGAUUAGGUUGUUGUUGGGGUAAUGGCCCAACAAGCCCGUAAUCGGACGGGUUGUGGGAGCAAGAGCCCGUAGUUGGAUUCUGAGACACGAAU
Molecule: ribosomal RNA, 307 nt
Filed under: uncultured Methanoculleus sp.
Lineage: Archaea; Methanobacteriati; Methanobacteriota; Methanomicrobia; Methanomicrobiales; Methanomicrobiaceae
Description: bacterial SSU rRNA
Rfam family: Archaeal small subunit ribosomal RNA
Source: RNAcentral